RNAcentral lists this ribosomal RNA (274 nucleotides) under uncultured bacterium. RNAcentral's name for it is "partial 16S ribosomal RNA". It matches the Rfam family "Bacterial small subunit ribosomal RNA", at positions 523 to 796 of the family's 1533-position model. The record is from RNAcentral.
AUGCGGAGGGUGCAAGCGUUAUUCGGAAUCACUGGGCGUAAAGGACGCGUAGGCGGGUUGGCAAGUCAGAUGUGAAAUCCUACAGCUUAACUGUAGAACUGCAUUUGAAACUGCUAACCUAGAGUAUGGGAGGGGGAGAUGGAAUUAGUGGUGUAGGGGUAAAAUCCGUAGAUAUCACUAGGAAUACCGAAAGCGAAGGCGAUCUCCUGGAACAUAACUGACGCUAAGGCGUGAAAGCGUGGGGAGCAAACAGGAUUAGAAACCCUUGUAGUCC